UACGGAGGGCGCUAGGGUUGUUCGGAAUCACUGGGCGUAAAGCGCGUGUAGGCGGCUUGGUAAGUCGGGUGUGAAAGCCCGGGGCCUAACCCCGGAACUGCACUCGAAACUGCCUCGCUCGAGUCUCGGAGAGGAUGGUGGAAUUCCCGGUGUAGUGGUGAAAUACGUAGAUAUCGGGAGGAACACCAGCAGCGAAGGUGGCCAUCUGGACGGUGACUGACGCUGAGACGCGAAAGCGUGGGGAGCAAACAGG
RNAcentral lists this ribosomal RNA (253 nucleotides) under uncultured bacterium. Its description in RNAcentral is "partial 16S ribosomal RNA". It matches the Rfam family "Bacterial small subunit ribosomal RNA", at positions 524 to 776 of the family's 1533-position model. The record is from RNAcentral.